Molecule: ribosomal RNA, 446 nt
Filed under: uncultured bacterium
Lineage: Bacteria
Description: partial 16S ribosomal RNA
Rfam family: Bacterial small subunit ribosomal RNA
Source: RNAcentral
CCUACGGGGUGCAGCAGUCGAGAAUCAUUCACAAUGGGGGAAACCCUGAUGGUGCGACGCCGCGUGGGGGAAUGAAGGUCUUCGGAUUGUAAACCCCUGUCAUGUGGGAGCAAAUUAAAAAGAUAGUACCACAAGAGGAAGAGACGGCUCACUCUGUGCCAGCAGCCGCGGUACUACAGAGGUCUCAAGCGUUGUUCGGAAUCACUGGGCGUAAAGCGUGCGGAGGCUGUUUCGUAAGUCGGGUGUGAAAGGCGCGGGCUCAACCCGCGGCCGGCACAUGAUACUGGGAGACUCGAGUAAGGGAGAGGGGACUAGAAUUCCCGGUGUAGCAGUGAAAUGCGUAGAGAUCGAGAGGAAUACUCGUGGCGAAGGCGGGUUCCUGGACAUUAACUGACGCUGAGGUACGAAGGCCAGGGGAGCGAAAGGGAUUAGAUACCCGUGUAGUC